UACGAAGGGGGCGAGCGUUGUUCGGAAUCACUGGGCGUAAAGGGCGCGUAGGCGGCCCUCUUAGUCGCGUGUGAAAGCCCCGGGCUCAACCUGGGAACGGCGCGCGAAACGGGAGGGCUGGAGUUCGGGAGAGGGAUGCGGAAUUCCAGGUGUAGCGGUGAAAUGCGUAGAUAUCUGGAGGAACACCGGUGGCGAAGGCGGCAUCCUGGACCAUUACUGACACUGAAUAGCGAAAGCCAGGGGAGCAAACGGG
RNAcentral lists this ribosomal RNA (253 nucleotides) under uncultured bacterium. RNAcentral's name for it is "partial 16S ribosomal RNA". It matches the Rfam family "Bacterial small subunit ribosomal RNA", at positions 524 to 776 of the family's 1533-position model. The record is from RNAcentral.